Molecule: long non-coding RNA, 245 nt
Filed under: Phoenix dactylifera (date palm)
Lineage: Eukaryota; Viridiplantae; Streptophyta; Magnoliopsida; Arecales; Arecaceae
Description: long non-coding RNA (PDAC_LNC015618)
Source: RNAcentral
GGGCCCUGUUCAUCCAUUGUGGGCCGAGUCCGUUCAUUUUAGACUAGAUAUAUUGAUUGAUCCAAGUCGACCCAAGCCAAAUCUCUCCUUUCCUAUUUUAGUCAAACCCGACUGAAUAGGCCAAGCCUCCGAUUAGACCUAACCAGAUGGAUCAAGCCCAAAAGCUCAGUUAGCCUUAGAUCGUGUAUUUUUUUCUCUUUCUAAGCAAGCCCACAUUUUGACUAGAUCCAGACCUUUCUCCUAAU